AGGAUGAACGCUGGCGGCGCGCCUAACACAUGCAAGUCGAACGGCACCCCUCUCCGGAGGGAAGCGAGUGGCGAACGGCUGAGUAACACGUGGAGAACCUGCCCCCUCCCCCGGGAUAGCCGCCCGAAAGGACGGGUAAUACCGGAUACCCCGGGGUGCCGCAUGGCACCCCGGCUAAAGCCCCGACGGGAGGGGAUGGCUCCGCGGCCCAUCAGGUAGACGGCGGGGUGACGGCCCACCGUGCCGACAACGGGUAGCCGGGUUGAGAGACCGACCGGCCAGAUUGGGACUGAGACACGGCCCAGACUCCUACGGGAGGCAGCAGUGGGGAAUCUUGCGCAAUGGGGGGAACCCUGACGCAGCGACGCCGCGUGCGGGACGGAGGCCUUCGGGUCGUAAACCGCUUUCAGCAGGGAAGAGUCAAGACUGUACCUGCAGAAGAAGCCCCGGCUAACUACGUGCCAGCAGCCGCGGUAAUACGUAGGGGGCGAGCGUUAUCCGGAUUCAUUGGGCGUAAAGCGCGCGUAGGCGGCCCGGCAGGCCGGGGGUCGAAGCGGGGGGCUCAACCCCCCGAAGCCCCCGGAACCUCCGCGGCUUGGGUCCGGUAGGGGAGGGUGGAACACCCGGUGUAGCGGUGGAAUGCGCAGAUAUCGGGUGGAACACCGGUGGCGAAGGCGGCCCUCUGGGCCGAGACCGACGCUGAGGCGCGAAAGCUGGGGGAGCGAACAGGAUUAGAUACCCUGGUAGUCCCAGCCGUAAACGAUGGACGCUAGGUGUGGGGGGACGAUCCCCCCGUGCCGCAGCCAACGCAUUAAGCGUCCCGCCUGGGGAGUACGGCCGCAAGGCUAAAACUCAAAGGAAU
This 862-nucleotide ribosomal RNA is filed under the name human gut metagenome. RNAcentral describes it as "bacterial SSU rRNA". It matches the Rfam family "Bacterial small subunit ribosomal RNA", at positions 26 to 910 of the family's 1533-position model. The record is from RNAcentral.